AUUAUAGCAUUUACAUCAUCUUCACCUCAGAACACUGUCAGCUACCAGUGGGCGCAGACUGCCUAUGUGGAUCACCACGACGGGAUCAAGCACAGCAAUAAACUAAACAGAUAGACACAAGAACUUUCAAAAUGGAAAACGCCAGAAACAUCGCAUUUAAAGACUUUGGCAAGAGAGAUGGCAUGACUACAGGCCAAGUUGCUGAUGUCUUCACAAAAGUCGCUGACACUUACGAUGAGGUGUGGACAACCCGAAAUCACAGAGGCCAUAUAUACGUAGCCGAGGGUGUGGCUGACUACUUUCAGGCGGAUGUGAUGGGUUUUGUGAGAAUCCUUGAUGUUGGUGCUGGCACAGGAAUGUUAGCAGAGCAGUUGUGGACAAGAGGAUUUAGGCAAAUAGAUGGCCUUGAUCCAUCGACUGGUAUGAUGACGGAAGCAAUGAAGAAAGGCGUGUACACAGAUUACUACCUGGAGUUCAUGGAUGGACACACCAUUGGAAAACUGGCCACAGACAGCUACGACGGUUUGGUUGCUGCUGCUGCUUUCAACACAGGUCUUUUACCUUGUGCUGCUUUACUGGAGAUGGCCCGACUGGUGAAGCCAGCAAUAAAACGACUGGGGACAGGAGAAAUGGGCUGAAGGCAUUGUAGCAAUCUAGGCAAACGAACCUGGGUCGUAACCGCCAUCCCCUGAAGGAGGUCUGAUAUGCUUCGGGAUCCCUCACGCUUGCUUCACUGACGUAAAGGAAUACAACAACAGACUGGAACCUUUGAUGCAGCGGAUGGAACUGGAUGGGAUGUGGAAACUGUUGGACAAGAA
This 818-nucleotide unclassified non-coding RNA is filed under the name Haliotis rufescens (red abalone). RNAcentral's name for it is "uncharacterized LOC124124392, transcript variant X1". Lineage: Eukaryota; Metazoa; Mollusca; Gastropoda; Lepetellida; Haliotidae. The record is from RNAcentral.